This 301-nucleotide ribosomal RNA is filed under the name uncultured bacterium. RNAcentral describes it as "partial 16S ribosomal RNA". It matches the Rfam family "Bacterial small subunit ribosomal RNA", at positions 509 to 807 of the family's 1533-position model. The record is from RNAcentral.
CAGUCGCCGCGGUAAUACGUAGGGUGCGAGCGUUAAUCGGAAUUACUGGGCGUAAAGCGUGCGCAGGCGGUUUGUUAAGACAGAUGUGAAAUCCCCGGGCUCAACCUGGGAACUGCAUUUGUGACUGGCAAGCUAGAGUGUGGCAGAGGGGGGUGGAAUUCCGCGUGUAGCAGUGAAAUGCGUAGAUAUGCGGAGGAACACCGAUGGCGAAGGCAGCCCCCUGGGACAACACUGACGCUGAGGUGCGAAAGCGUGGGGAGCAAACAGGAUUAGAUACCCGGGUAGUCCCUGUCUCUUAUAC